Molecule: ribosomal RNA, 459 nt
Filed under: uncultured bacterium
Lineage: Bacteria
Description: partial 16S ribosomal RNA
Rfam family: Bacterial small subunit ribosomal RNA
Source: RNAcentral
CCUACGGGUGGCAGCAGUGAGGAAUUUUGGUCAAUGGGCGCGAGCCUGAACCAGCCAAGUCGCGUGAGGGAAGACGGUCCUAUGGAUUGUAAACCUCUUUUGUCGGGGCGCAAAAGACGCCACGCGUGGCGUUCCGUGAGUACCCGAAGAAAAAGCAUCGGCUAACUCCGUGCCAGCAGCCGCGGUACUACGGAGGAUGCGAGCGUUAUCCGGAUUUAUUGGGUUUAAAGGGUGCGCAGGCGGAAGAUCAAGUCAGCGGGAAAAUUGAGAGGCUCAACCUCUUCGAGCCGUUGAAACUGGUUUUCUUGAGUGAGCGAGAAGUAUGCGGAAUGCGUGGUGUAGCGGUGAAAUGCAUAGAUAUCACGCAGAACUCCGAUUGCGAAGGCAGCAUACCGGCGCUCAACUGACGCUCAUGCACGAAAGUGUGGGUAUCGAACAGGAUUAGAUACCCCUGUAGUC